RNAcentral lists this ribosomal RNA (253 nucleotides) under uncultured bacterium. Its description in RNAcentral is "partial 16S ribosomal RNA". It matches the Rfam family "Bacterial small subunit ribosomal RNA", at positions 524 to 776 of the family's 1533-position model. The record is from RNAcentral.
UACGGAGGAUGCGAGCGUUAUCCGGAAUCAUUGGGUUUAAAGGGUCCGUAGGCGGUCUUAUAAGUCAGUGGUGAAAUCUCCUAGCUCAACUAGGAAACUGCCAUUGAUACUGUAGGACUUGAAUUUUUGUGAAGUAACUAGAAUAUGUAGUGUAGCGGUGAAAUGCUUAGAUAUUACAUGGAAUACCAAUUGCGAAGGCAGGUUACUAACAAACGAUUGACGCUGAUGGACGAAAGCGUGGGGAGCGAACAGG